RNAcentral lists this ribosomal RNA (253 nucleotides) under uncultured bacterium. RNAcentral describes it as "partial 16S ribosomal RNA". It matches the Rfam family "Bacterial small subunit ribosomal RNA", at positions 524 to 776 of the family's 1533-position model. The record is from RNAcentral.
GACAGAGGUGCCGAGCGUUAGGCGGAAUCACUGGGCUUAAAGCGUGUGUAGGCGGACCGUUAAGUACCUUGUGAAAUCCCACGGCUCAACCGUGGAACGGCUGGGUAUACUGGCGGUCUUGGGCCACCUAGGGGCAACCGGAACAAGCGGUGGAGCGGUGAAAUGCGUAGAUAUCGCUUGGAACGCCGACGGUGAAAACAGGUUGCUGGGGGUGUGCCGACGCUGAGACACGAAAGCCAGGGGAGCGAACGGG